This is a long non-coding RNA of Carya illinoinensis, 672 nucleotides long. RefSeq lists it as uncharacterized. The record is from RefSeq and is a predicted model, not a curated record. NCBI's taxonomy places the organism in Eukaryota, Viridiplantae, Streptophyta, Magnoliopsida, Fagales, Juglandaceae. The transcript has 2 exons.
UUUUGAAGACCUCUAGAAGCUAGAUCAUCUCUUGUGCUGAUUACUACUGGUCUUAGGGAGGCAGAUUUUCCAAUGAAUCUAUAUAUCUAGGUUUUCCAGUUCCUAUGAAUAAAUCAAAUGUCGCAAUGCUAGACACUCUUAGGUGCUGAAAGUCAACAGGAAAUUGGGUUGAUGAAAGUCUAGGGCGUUCAUCAUGUUAACUCAAGGCCGGGGAAAGUUUGUGCUCAUGAUCAUCAAACCCAUGUUGUCUAGCUGCCCACAAAUUUUCUUUGCGUUGAAUACUAGGAAAAAGUGUAAAAAGGUUUCUAAAGUGGUUGCUGACUUUUCUUGGGGGUGAUGAGUUAUCUUGAGCAAAGAUCAUGAUGCGUUAUUCUUUGGAGAGUUGGCUGCAUUUCUGUGGAAAUUCUUUGUUGUUGCAUUUUAGAAUGUAUAUGGCUCAAGAUAACAGUCAUUUUGCAUGCUUUGUUAACGUGUUUCAUUAGCUGGUCCGUUUAGGAGAUCAUGUCAAGCAAGAAUGGAGAAGAAAUUGGAGGAUAAGGCAUCUGUUUGUUAAUUCAAGGUCAAAGUUUUACUGGUUGAAGCUAUUUCUAAAACAGGCAAGGCAAAAGUUGUCUCUCAGCUCAUGUAAUGUGGUUUUGUUCAACAACAAUAAUAAUAAUGUAUUUUUCUAUA